UUUAAUUGAAGAGUUUGAUCAUGGCUCAGAUUGAACGCUGGCGGCAGGCCUAACACAUGCAAGUCGAGCGGUAACAGGAGAAAGCUUGCUUUCUUGCUG
This 99-nucleotide ribosomal RNA is filed under the name Proteus mirabilis. Its description in RNAcentral is "partial 16S ribosomal RNA". It matches the Rfam family "Bacterial small subunit ribosomal RNA", at positions 1 to 93 of the family's 1533-position model. The record is from RNAcentral. Lineage: Bacteria; Pseudomonadati; Pseudomonadota; Gammaproteobacteria; Enterobacterales; Morganellaceae.